Molecule: non-coding RNA, 29 nt
Filed under: Mus musculus (house mouse)
Lineage: Eukaryota; Metazoa; Chordata; Mammalia; Rodentia; Muridae
Source: RNAcentral
UGCUUGUGCCACUAAAUGCCUAAAUGUCA